Molecule: long non-coding RNA, 419 nt
Filed under: Setaria viridis
Lineage: Eukaryota; Viridiplantae; Streptophyta; Magnoliopsida; Poales; Poaceae
Description: long non-coding RNA (SVIR_LNC007365)
Source: RNAcentral
AUCUAUAGUCUCCAACUAUCUCCUUUCACCUUGACCAAAAAAAAAACAGAUCUUCCACCCGUUGCUCCUCAGUCCUCACUCGGCAUCUAUACCUCACAUCUUCGGCAAUUCUCCUCUCUCUCUUUUUUUUCCUUAACAAACAAGGACGAGGAGGUGCUUAUUUGAUUGAUCCAGAAGGAGAUCUUCAGCGACUCUUACAACGCCAAAAUUUAGGCGUAAAAUAGAAGUUUUCCUCACCCUUCAUUACUCGCGUAGCUCCAUCUUUAAGCCUUAAUUUAGUUGCUGCCAGACGCGUCACCCUGCAAUCCCCUUUGAAGCAACAGCGCCCCUCGAUUCGCCACAAGAGCAUUAUUAUCUGAAGCGUUCAACACUCUGUCACGUACGGUCUGUCACGUACGGUUCGUUAUACUCUAUUCUCC